UGUCACCUCAGCUCUCCAGAGUCUAAGGCAUUUGGAAAUGCCACUAGUUCAAGACCAGCUUGGACUGUAGACUGGGAUGUUGUCUAAACACAAAAGGGGGGUAGGGUUGAAUUAGUGUUAUUAGGAAAGGGAAUUUUAGAUCAGACAGAAAAGGACAACUGUGUAAUUACUGUAACUUACAGAUGCAGUGAGGUCAUGCAACUUCAUAAGUUAAGAGUUGAUUGCUGAGGGGUUGGGGAUUUAGCUCAGCGGUAGAGCACUUGCCUAGCAAGCGCAAGGCCCUGGGUUCGGUCCCCCAGCUCCGAAAAAAAGAAAAAAGAAAGAAAAAAGAACACACUAAGCAUGGUUUACGCACACCUGGGAUUCCCACUCAGGAAGAGGAGGCAGGAGCAGAAGUUCAGAGUAAUCCUUAGCCACAAAGCAAGUUGAAGCCAGCCUUUGCUGUAUGAGACACUGUCUUUAAAGGUGGAGCUGGGAGGGGCAGGGGAAUGGACAUGGAGCCCGAUAAACCUAGAGCUGUCUUUUGUUCCAAAACAAUUUGUUUCUGUAACUAGGAAAGGCAGACGGUGAGAGUGAAGUAGUAAGUCAAAGAAGAAGGCGUUGUCUCUCAGUUGCUACCCAGUGUUCCAGCUGUCAAAGGAGCCUGGAUACCAGGAGCUACCUGCUGUAUAGAGGCUGGCCUGGGGCACUUCCUGGGACAUAGAAACCCAGGAGAGGAGCUCAACAGUUGUGUUUCACCCUACCUCUUGAUCUGAGUUUCCCACAGAAAGCCAGCCAGGAUCUUUAGGCCCAUAUGGAGUCCUCAGUGCUUCAGGGAACUCAUUGCUAACAGUUCUAACUACUCAAGACAUUGGAGGGGCUGGGGUUUUAACUCCGUGAACACUUCACUUGCACGUGUAGAGGAUCUGGGUUCAUUCAAUAAAUGAAUAAAUAUAAGAAAGUAAAUAAAUAGCCUUUAAAGAAUUGAAAGGCAACAAGCAUGGUGGCACACACCAUUAAAUCUCGGCUCUUAGGAGGCAGAGACUGAUGGAUCCUGGAGUUCAAAGCCAACCUGAGCAAGUUCUAGGACAGCCAGGUCUACACAGAGAAGCUGGUCAUGAAAAGCCAAAGACCAGGGUCUAAACACCUGGCGUGGCUCUCCAGGUCAGAACACACUCCACUCCUGGGCUAUUCCCAGUCUUGUUUCCACUUAGCAUCCAUAGAAUGUGCUGGAACCUACUACUGUCUAUGCCCCACUGCCACACUUUUAUUGGAAGCUUUACUCUAGGAGCCCUUGGCCAGAGGGCUCCCAGAAAAGAUAGUUACCCUCUCUGUAAUACAUGAAGGGAAGUUGAGAAUCGUCUACUUAGGGUAAGACAUUUUAAACUCCGGGCCUGUGCUCCUCUUUGUUGUUAGCACUCGUCCACGUGUUCUUGAAGAGUGGGGCUGCUCUGCGUCAC
This is a long non-coding RNA of Rattus norvegicus (Norway rat), 1439 nucleotides long. The record is from Ensembl. NCBI's taxonomy places the organism in Eukaryota, Metazoa, Chordata, Mammalia, Rodentia, Muridae.